UUUCUUUAGAGACGAAACAUAUCCCUAAUUCGCCGCCACUAACCGUCCGUCGGAAAUUGCCAACGGUGGCGGUCAACCACCAAUCACCCCCAAUAUUACACCAUAAACUCCUAUCACUUUUCCCAUCCCAAAUCUCCAAACAAUCCUUCUCAAAUCCCUUGGAACUUCUCGAAUUUUAGUUCAAAGGAGAAACCCUAGCGCCGCCCUAACAUCCUCCGAUGGCGGCGCCACCUCCAAGCACCACCAAAAUAACAAAUGUGACCCCCUCACUUCCCUCAUUCAAAAUCCGUAACCCUUUACUCUCGAAUAUGCCCAGAACUCCUCGGAUAUUGAAUCCAAGGUUCAAGCCUCAAAAGAUCAAAAUUGAACCUGUACAUGCGAGGUCACUCUUAUGAGUUUCUUGGCUUGUUCAAGCGCCUUUUAUCACAAAAUAAUGACAUUCAUUCGUUCGUCAUCAACAAAAAAAAUUUAAUAUUGUUUUGGGUUGACUCAGAGUGCCAGUUUCGAUUCUGAGCCUAGCCGGUGAGUUCCUUUAAUUUUUCCUUCCAUGCAUUUAUGUUUCACUUCUGUUCUUCUUUUUUUGUCAAAUAUAAUCUCAACAGAGACUAGUCAAGGGUCUGAGCCUAAAACCUCUUUUAUUGACGUUUGCUUUCCCUUUAAAAGUUUGUUCUAUAAUUUUCUUGUUCUAUUUAGUAUUGUUAAUGGCAUAUUUAAACCAUUGAUUUCACCUCUUGCUUGGUCACUUUGUUUAAUUUAUUUAGGCUUAUUUUAAUAAAUUAGUUCCGGGCCUGUUUGUGAUAAUUAAUUAGUUAAUUAGUGUAGCUUUUAGUGCCCUGAAAUUAUUAAAAUGUUUUUUUACAUGCAUUGGACUCCUGAUUUAGUUUGGGUCGUCUUUACUGCUUGGGCUUUGAGGUUAGUUUAGACCCCACUUCAGGGGUUUUGUUUGGUUUAAAUCUGAGCCAUUGCUUGGUUAGACUAUAGGGUCAAUUCGACCCAUGACCCAUGCGUGUCUGGUCCCUAAUGUAAAAAUAGGGAUCAUAAGGUUUAAAUUAGAAAAUCUAGAUGAAAUAAUCACUAAUAACUGCCUAAGGAAGCUUCCUAGAAGUUGGGGUGGAGGGUUCAUAUAAAAUCUGAAUUUUAAAUUAAGGAUCAACCAGCAAAAAAGAAAACUAAAAAGGAGUGAAGGGCAAAAACUGAAAUCAUUUCUGUUGUCCUAGAGCUUCUCUAUAAAAGGCUGGUUAUUUCCUAAUCAAGUAAGAUUUUUAAGAAUUUAGGAGAUAAAAAAAAUUCUGAAAAGCUGAAAUAGCUAAGUUCUUAUAGAAAAAUUCUGAAGCCCUGCAUUUCUUGUUUGAAAACUGCUAAAAUCCUGUUCGUUUGGGAUCAUCUGAUUCAUUUGGUUUUGGGAAAAAUCCUAUGAAAAUACAAGAAUCCUGAAACUUGGUCAAAUGGCCUGUGUUUGUUUGCUUAGAGCUUGGUUUUGGAAUUUUGGUGCUGGUGUUACUAUACCAUUGGAUUUGGGAUUGAGCUGCCUUGGUUUUGGUACUGUUUUAUAGAUUCUAGGCUUGGUUUUGUUGCGGCUAUUGUUUGUUCCUCACUCUCCUUGCUUCCUUUGUAAUUUUUUAGGUAUUCUCUUUGAACUAUAACUGGAAAUGAAGCCUGAUUGAGCUUUUGUGUGAGGAUCUGUAACCCUAGCUGAAGUUAAAUGACAAACAUUAGUCCGUGUUGUUAUUACUGCUUGACUCUGUCAUGUUCUAAUCAUAUUUCUCUAGUCUAGCUUAUUUUUUCUACUUCAUUCCCUAAUAUUAUGUUUGGUUUUCAGUGCUGGCUUUGGACUUUGUUUGGGAUAUAGUAGACUCAAUAGUGUUUUUAGACUUAGUGUAACAUGUGUUAAUUGAGGAAUGUAUCUCUUAAUCUAAUUAGUGUAAUAUAGUUUAGUCUAAUGAUUUCAGAGUUGUAACUUAGUUCUGCUUCUGCUCAUGUAUGAGAAUCUUGCAUUUUAAUAGGAUUUUCGGAUGGGAUUUGAGUGAGAGCUUUCUGUUGAAUCCAUGUUAUCAAACAUAUACAUUUGUUUUGAGGUCCUCUCUAGUAUUUUGACGAAAAACUAAAUUAAUAGUUGGUUGUGUUUGAUAGUUACACCAGUUGUAUGUAUGGUAACGAUGCUCCAGAGAAGAUUCAUUCAGUGUUUUAAUUUCAGUAAUGAUUAGUGAUGGUUUUGUUGAUUUUUAGGCAUGAAAUGUUCUAUUUUG
This 2246-nucleotide long non-coding RNA is filed under the name Nicotiana benthamiana. Its description in RNAcentral is "long non-coding RNA (NBEN_LNC041944)". The record is from RNAcentral. Lineage: Eukaryota; Viridiplantae; Streptophyta; Magnoliopsida; Solanales; Solanaceae.